UGUCGUCAGCUCGUGCCGUGAGGUGUUGGGUUAAGUCCCGCAACGAGCGCAACCCUUGUCGUUAGUUACAUUCUCUAACGAGACAGCCUCUCACAAGGAGGAGGAAGGUGGGGAUGACGUCAAGUCAUCAUGGCCCUUAUGUCCUGGGCUACACACACGCUACAAUGGCCGGUACAAUGGGUCGCGAAGCCGCGAGGCGGAGCCAAUCCCACCAAAGCCGGCCCCAGUUGGGAUUGCAGGCUGCAACUCGCCUGCAUGAACGUGGAAUCGCUAGUAACCGCAGGUCAGCACACUGCGGUGAAUACGUUCCCGGGCCUUGUACACACCGCCCGUCACGUCAUGGAAGCCGAGAACGAUUGAAGUCGCUGAGCUAACCCGCAAGGGAGGCAGGCGCCGAGGUCGGGUUUGGUGACUGGGACGAAGUCGUAACAAGGUAGCUGUACCGGAAGGUGCGGCUGGAUCACCUCCUUUUAAGGA
Molecule: ribosomal RNA, 477 nt
Filed under: SAR202 cluster bacterium
Lineage: Bacteria; Bacillati; Chloroflexota; Dehalococcoidia
Description: bacterial SSU rRNA
Rfam family: Bacterial small subunit ribosomal RNA
Source: RNAcentral